GGGGGUGUAGCUUAGUGGUAGAGCGCUUGCCUAGUAUGCAAGAGGCCCCGUUUGAUCCCAGCACCACCA
RNAcentral lists this transfer RNA (69 nucleotides) under Fukomys damarensis (Damara mole-rat). It matches the Rfam family "tRNA". From Rfam's summary of the family: Transfer RNA (tRNA) molecules are approximately 80 nucleotides in length. Their secondary structure includes four short double-helical elements and three loops (D, anti-codon, and T loops). The record is from Rfam by way of RNAcentral. Lineage: Eukaryota; Metazoa; Chordata; Mammalia; Rodentia; Bathyergidae.